This is a long non-coding RNA of Cydia fagiglandana, 12304 nucleotides long. RefSeq lists it as uncharacterized. Lineage: Eukaryota; Metazoa; Arthropoda; Insecta; Lepidoptera; Tortricidae. The record is from RefSeq and is a predicted model, not a curated record. The transcript has 2 exons.
AAGAAAAAAGAGGGCCCCGAUUUUGACAGCCACUCUAGAUGGCGGUACACUGCGCCAUAGGUUUUGUGGUGACUGAAUUGUCAAAUAUUAACUUUUGACUACCAGAGUUACCGCAUAAUAUACGGAGCUGUCCAGCGCCAUCUUCACUAGCUGUCAAACUCCAAGCAUCAAUUUGUCUUACACUUUAGACACUUAGAGUCGGACCAAGAUAACUCUGCAUGCCAUUUGCAAUGAUGUGUGGCAAUGUCAUCAUUAAUGUCAAAUUUCUAUGAAAAUAUGACGUUAAUAAUGACACUCCCCCACUGUCCUGUCCAAGCCAGUGCAAAGUUAGCUUAGAUGGACUCUAGUAAAAUAAACGAAUCUUUGAUUCAAAGUGGCGUAAUAUAUAUUUGGUCCUAUAGAACUAAAAAUAUAAAUAUAAAGCAAUAAUAUACAUAUCUGUAUUGAUGUUAGCUUUAAUAUGAUCAAACGCUAAGCGAUUGUUUACUGUGUUUAAUGUGAAAUGCCUCUACAUUUUUGGCCGACUUUAAAACAAGGAGGUUAUUGAUUCGAACGUAUUUUUUUAAAUUUAUAUUUGUAUGUUAAACAGAAACUGGCAGCCUGUACACAGAUAGUUCAAUGGUUUGGAAGGAAACGUUUUAACACUUCUAACCAUCAACAACCUAUCAACGUGCUCACUAGCGCCACUGGUAAAUAAUUGGGACUAUUGAAAUUUAACAAUAGAUAUUUAAAAAAGGGGGCCGCUAAAUACUGUAUUUUGUAUUGAAGUACCUUUUGAAUACAUUAUAAUAGUUUUUACGUUGCUGGAUUCGACAAUCUAUGCGUCCAAUGUAUUCAUAAUCAAAAUCCAAUCCAGUGUAUUCAAAAGGUAUUUAAACACUAAAUACAACACAAGUGGCCCCCUUUUUUUAAUAUCUAUCGUUAAAUUUAAAUAAUUACAAUUAUUAAGCGCUGGCGCUAGUGAGCACGUUGAUAGGCUCUUAAUGAAAUAAAAAAUCGCCGAAGAAAAGCAGAAGACAUUUUUUUGUCAACUGACGAUUUAAGCUAGAAGUCGUUAAUAAAAAGUGUUAUAAAGUAGUAAGGACAAUACGAGUGAGCGUGGCUGGCCUUCACAUCGGGUCCUAUUUACACAUCGAUUAGUGUUUAAUAAGCACUUAGCGCACCAGCGACGCUCUCGGCGGUUGAACGCAGUCGCCGUGGCCGAAAACGGCUUGGAGCAUGAUGAUGAUUGAUGACCUAUAUGCCAUACAUACGUAUUGACAUUACUACUCUUUAUUUUUUUUUUAUUAUACAGUGUCCCACUACUGGGCAAAGGCCUACUACUUAUUUUGAAGUAAAAACCGUUUGGAUAUCUCUGAGUACAGGCACAUCGCAAUCCUUAACUCAGUUUGCCAUAAUGUCUUAAGUAGAUCUCAAUAAUGAUAAGUUGUAUAAUAGCUAUGCGUUUUGCAUGUUUUUUUUUAAAUAAUAAUUCUUGCACAAUAUCUAGGUUUAGAAUAAGGGAAUGAAUUGUGAUAGAUAUCUCGAUGUAAGAUGUACUUAAGCAGUUAGGUAAUGCGAGAGAUGUGUGCUUUAUUAGACUUAUAAACUUAGAGCUUUCUCAUUUUAUUGGCACCCUUUGAGAAAUUAAACUGGGCCUUAAUAUGUAUACAUACCUAUGGCUACAUUUUUACCGAUAUUUAAUUUGGGCAUUUGGCUGAUUUUUAUUUGAAUUAACGCGUUUUUUUCCAAUAGCAUUCUCAAAAGGGUCACAAAUCUAAUGUAACCCAGUAGUUUUUGCAGUAUGUUAAAAAAAAAGUUAAGAACAAGGGCCAUUUGCAUCAACCACAUUUGACAGACUGAUCAACGUCAGCCGGCGCGCCACUAUGAAACUUUCCAUACAUACAAAUUUAGCGAACUCUUUAACGAUACAAACAGUUUGGUGCAACCGACCCUAAGAAACGAUUUUUGAUAAACAAAGCGUUAAAAAUAAAAAUUUGGCAAAUGUAACAACCAACAAACAGUUUUUGAAGUUGUUAUAGAAUACCGAAGAUAUUGUUCUAAACAUGCUGACUGAGCAGCUUAUCAAAAUCAUGAAAGCCGUAAUUUAGAGCAUGCAUACGAAAGUAUAAUAUAUAUUCUAAUAAAGGGAACUUUGCAGAGUUUAAUCUCGAUAAAAGCAAAGCAGUCAAUAAUUUAAAGAAGCAAUAAUAUUUUAUAUUAUGUUUUGUCCCGUUAGCCAGGAGACACCGGUGUUAAAGUUAGAAAAUUACUUAUAAACAUAUUAAAGUAAUUUUAGAGCCAAUAAAAUGGGGUUUCCGUAAAGUGACCAAGAAGGUUUAGCGGCUUCACAAUAUUUUUUAAAAGCCGGUAAUAUCAUUUUAAAAUUCUUAAAUUUAGAAAUAUGAUUCAUUCAAUGUUAUUAAUAUAUUACACAUCUCUCGCAUCCACGCAUUUAUGAUUGAGGAAGGCAGCUUAUUGAUUUUAAACUACCUCCCCCCAAGUAUUCGAAGUAAUUUUUUUUUACAUUUUUAUACUCCUUUUUUACACCAAAAUGAUGCAGUAUUAUAUAAACAGUUGUGUACUUGUAUGUACCCAGUUUUACAUGAUGUUGAUGUCGUAUCUACAAUUAUAUUGUCAUGAAUUUUGAAUUUUUAUUCAUAUAUUUUAAAUUUUAAUUAAUGAAUCCUUGCGCAUGUCCGCGAAUGACACGUGUUUCUCUAAAAGUGACUGAACAUUUAAGCUCCACGGUAUAUCAGUUAUUUAUUUAAUAAAUAUGUAAGUUACUUAUAGUCAGAGAGACAGCUUAACAGUCACACGGACCCGUCACCAUAUCCGCAACGGGUACUGGUAUCAGUAGUUUUUGUUGAUAAUAAAUUGUAAUACAAAUAAAAAAGUUGUAUGUAAAACUUAUACUUGUUCUAGUUUCUUCGUAUGGGAGUGACUAGGUGCGUGUGACUCUUAAAUAGGUGUACGGCCCCGUACAUGCGUUUACUUUGGCUGUCAAAAGUUAGCGCCGUAAAACCCAUUAAAAUUACAAAUGAUAUUACUAAUGAAAGGAUAUAAUCGUGAUGAUACUUUGAAACUGGCAUGCGUCAAGUUCAACCAUAUCAGGAUACUUUGGACUAAGUGAACGGAUCAUCACAAUUUUUGUGCCAAUACUAUUAUUAUUUUAUUGUAUACACUUUGGCAGCAAGCAUAAUAAGCACUUACUACACUCUGGCAAUUAUUUCUAUACUCACGAAUGUCUUAUUUCCACACUCUUGUAUCGUUACUCAAUAGUGUAAUCUAAUGCGUAGGUUCAUAAGAGCCUGGCCGUCGCCACACAAUGGAGGUAUAAUUUGUACUGUACUAUCCAAAGUUUUCAUGGAAUCAGCGCCAGCUUUCGUGAAAAUUCGGCCUACAGUAAUUUUAUUCAUUACAUAUUUAUAUUUUAUGCGAAGUUUUAUAGCACGCAAUUGCGAUUUUUUAGUAUAACCAUGCUUUUAAAGUAUGCUGUGCAAGCUUUUACGUACAUGUUAUAAUGAUAUUAUUAUGUUAUAAAACCAUUCCUUUAAAAAUAAUUAAGCCAUAUAAAGUAUUUAUCUAAGCAUUCGUGCGUAUGGAAAUACUUGUUGGAGGAACCUAUAUAUCACACUGAGAGAUCUCGAUUUUGUAUAUAAUUUUUGUAUAUUUAAGUUUUAGAACCAAACGUUGCUAUCGCUCAAAUUCCUUGACAAGUCGCCGAUUCGGAAUUUUAACUCACACUGGAAAAAAAUUACGUUCGACUUUUUAUUGCUUUUUCGACCCGUGACCCAGGAGACACCACUGAUAUAGUAUCUAGAUGUUAUUCAAAGCUUAUGGACCAUAUGAUGCCAUGAUAUCCACUGCAUUUAGUUAGGUUGUAUCAAAAAUGAUAUCAUUCAGAAGUGAGUGACCCACGAGACAUUCACGACGAAAAGCAACUGAAAGUAGACUGACAGAGAAAUGAUUUCGACUUUUUGGAUAGCUUGAGCUGUAGUAUCUUGAAUUUUUAGUGUUAGAUUUUAUUAAGUGUCUUAAGGUACCAGUGUCGGUGUCUUUAGACUUCAGGGCUAUUUUAUAUAUUAAAAAAAAAACAGUUUUUUACAAUCUAUUUUACAAGUCUUUUUAUAUUUUAUUACGAAAUUGUAUCACUAUUACAAAUCACAGUAAUAUGAUAACCAAAAGUGUAUUAUGCAUUAUUCUUUUUAAAUGCAUUUAUUUUAUAAUCCAUAAAGAAAGUGUCAGAAUAAUCCUCAUAUUCCUGCGAAAAUUUAUUAAGACAUUUCCACACGUUUAAAGUCAGUGCAGAGUGCAGAGCUUGGUCCGACUAACUAAAGCAAACUGUCCGUACAAAUGUCAAAUAUCCCAAGUCGAAAGUUGAGCAUUUAAUGUGUCUAGUUACUUUGAAUUCCUUGUAUGCAUUUACUGUUAUUAAAACCCGCCGCCGCUUGCGAUUCUCUUUGCGCGCGCUUUGUAAACUAUUCUCAUUGUAAAAUUGACGAACAACCAAACCUGUAUGUACAUAAUAUCAGUGUUGGGCGUAAUGCAAUUAAUUUGUAAUUGCAUUACGCAUUAAAUUACAUUUAAUGCAAUUACUUGUAAUGCAUUACGCUCGUAAUUGAAUUAAAUUUAAUUUGAAUUACGUGGUAAUUUUUAUUUGAAAUUAUAUUAAUUCGUAAUUGCAUUACUCAAUUAAAUCUAAAAUCGAAAAAAGGGACCUUGUGGCGGAAAAUAAGUUAUCUACGGGAUUGAAAUCUAGAUACAUAUACCUAACUAUUAAUACAAGAAUCAACCCACCUAAAUAUACCGCCAUAAGGUCCCUUUUGUUUUGGACUGACACAAAUAGCGUCCAAAGUUGAAUGUAAGAACUAAAACACGUACUAAAAAACUUACACAAGUAUGUAAAAAAAAUAGUUGAAUAUUUUGAGGAUAACUUCCUUAAAAUUGAGUUGCAAAAUUAAAACACAAACCUACAAACAAGUAUAGCGUGCUAUAUAAAACAAUGAACAUGUUUUACUAAUGAGUAUAAUUUGUAAUGCAUUUUACGAAUUAAAAUCACAAAAUGUAAUUUCUAAUUGCAAUGCAGUGAAGUUAAUGCAAUUAGAAAUUACAUUUCCGUAAUUUCAAUUCAUAAUUCAAAUUACGUUUUUUAAUUGCAUUUCAUAAUUCGUAAUGCAAUUAGUUGUUGCCCAACACUGGUACAUAUAUAUAUUUGAUAAUAAUCUCCUUCCGUCCGCCACAGAUCGGAGUAGUGAUCCAAAAGACUCGAGCCCUGCAAGCCUUUUCUUAGGGCUCGCCUCAAAUCUUGACGCCUAAAAGGCUAAAAGCCUUUUUUAUUUCAUUAGUAAAAUAGGCUUUUAGCCUUUUAGGCGCCAACAGAUGAGGCGAGCCCUAAAAAACCGGGCAAGUGCGAGUCGGACUCGCGCACGAAGGGUUCCGUACCAUAAAGCAAAAAAAAAUAGGGAAAAAAAUGCAAAAAGAAAACGGUCACCCAUCCAAGUACUGACCACGCCCGACGUUUCUUAACUUUGGUCAAAAAUCACGUUUGCUGUAUGGGAGCCCCACUUAAAUCUUUAUUUUAUUCUGUUUUUAGUAUUUGUUGUUAUAGCGGCAACAGAUAUACAUCAUCUGUGAAAAUUUCAACUGUCUAGCUAUCACGGUUCGUGAGAUAUAGCCUGGUGACAGACAGACGGACAGACGGACGGACGGACAGCGAAGUCUUAGUAAUAGGGUCCCGUUUUAUCCUUUGGGUACGGAACCCUAAAAAAGAGCUAACAGGGCUCGAGUCUUUUGGAUCACUAGAUCGGAGUGCGUUCGAGAUGCACUGAGAUUAAUAUCAAAAUAAUAUAACAAACAGGUUAUUUAUUAUUUUGUGGACUUAAAACUUCAAGUUUUUGAACACGGGAGCGCUAUAUUAUUCCUUAACAAGCUUCCUGAGUCCAGGUUCAACUAAUGGGACUGUAAUUUAAGUUAGGACUCCGCGGCCUUAAUAAUUUAUAUAUACAUACAGUAUGUGUCUGACAAUGGGGCUUUAAUGGAAUUAAAGGGCUUGAUUUUACUCGCUAAAGUGAGCUACUUUGACUAUGGUACCAACCCUAAAAUCGGGGAAUUUUUUUUGGCUUUUCCAUAGAAAACGUCGACAUCUGAUCAGGGGGCCGAUUUUUUAAUUUCGACCACUCGAUUUUGUGUAUUUCGUUAAAUAAUAUCUCCAAUACUAGACACUUAAAUUCUACAAAUAGAAUUGAAAUCGAGUGGUUAAUACCACUAGAUUCCAAAUUUCAAUCGCUCGUAUUUAAAAAAUUAGCAUUUCGCCGUUUUCCACCAACAUUCGAGUGACGAAAUCGAGCGAUCGAAAUUCAAAAAUCGGCCCCCCCGACAAAAUGUACGAAAACGUAAAAAAAAUUUCGGGAUUUCGGGGUUGGUGCCAUAAUAAAAGUAGCUCAGUUUAGCGAGUAGAAUCGAGCCCUGGAUUUAAAGCCCGAUGGUCAGUAACACCCUGUAUAUAAACGUUAACCACCAAAAGCUUGAAGUACUUAAUACAUCCGUCUUUCUCGCUCUCUUGGAACUCUUGAAGAGCGAAUUUCUAUCGACAUCGCAAGCGGCCACAAUCGUCACUAAGAUACACUAAAUGCAAAUGAAAACGGGUACUUUUAUUAACAACUACUAUGUUUUCAUUGCUCUUAAGGUGAAACGCAGAAUGUAAACUGUUUCGCUACGAAACUGAGAUAUUUAUCAGUUAAUUAACAAAGGAUUACUCUGCAUUUCACCUCUGCACUCAAAAACAGUCAAAACCGGUAAUUUUUGAUUUCUCUGCAUUGACUGGUUUUGAUUGUACGAAAGUGUAUAUUAUAUUUUUCUAAUGGAAAUUGUCUCUAUAAGAACGUCGCUGUGGUGUAUCGCGAUCUCUUUGUUUAUGACUGAUUUUUUAACUUUUUAUUAGGUUUAUUAUGUACGAUUACUUUAAAAUUUCGCCAAUAUAUAUAGGUAUGAGCGAACAUGUGAGAUAUAUCUGUACGUAUAGUAAAUGUAAGCUCUAUUAUAAGGCCAGUCGAGAGGAUCGCAGACAUUGGCAGAAUGAGAGAUUUAUAACUAUCCCGUUCUACCAGAUAUGUCUGUCUCAUAUAUGUAACAUGCGGUGAUAAAUGGGACGAUUUUCUAUUUAACGCCGAUUUGUUUUCCUUAGAUUUGGAUAAAAUUUGGCAGGUUUGAAGAGGCUCCAAUUCUGGCAGGAAUAAAUACGAAAUCUCAAUCCCAAUAAAGAUUGCAUGUACUUUUUUUCAACGAAAGCUUAUGACUAUGGUAAUUUCGUAAGUUUUUGGGACAUACGGUGAUAUUCCGCUUAUUUUGUACAAAAUAGGGCACUAUCUAUCCACCGAUCUUUAUCAAAUUCUGACGAACAUCCGACAAAAAACUAAAAAAUCGGGCCACACUCCCGCCCGAACCCCUUAUAGUGUGUAUAUAAAUGUAAAUAUUGUAUUAAGGAGCAAAUAUCACGUAUUAUCAAGUUGAGUCGCGAGGAAAGACUGCUAGAGUGAACAAUUAUUAUGUAAACUGUCCUGUUCUUAGUUAAAUGCAUGGAUAAUUGUAAUAAUAGACGUCCAAAAUUAAACGAGGAGUCGUCACGUUAGAACCUUAGUGUCCUCCAUGUUAAAACAUUGCCAUACAUUGUAAGGGUGCAUCCACACCACAGUUAACUUUUGUGUUUUGCAAAUAUAAGUUACCUUAUGCACAGUGUUGCUCUACUAAAUUUAACUGCGGUGUGGAUGCACCUUAAAUAUCCAAUUUGAUCGAAAUUUAAAUACAAUAUAUGGUCCAGUGGUGUCUUUUAUCAAUUAUAACAUGUGUAUAUGCUGCACCUCAAAUAUAUUUUUAAAAAUAUAUUAUUAAAGCUUUAACCCAAAUACCUAGAGUUAGACCAAGAAAAGUCUGUAGGGAUUUUGAUAGCCCACGCAAUGCAAGGGUUAUUUUAAAUGCCAAACUUCUAUGAAAUUAUGGCGUAUAAAUAAAUAAAACUUGCACUGCGUGGGUUAUUAAAAUCACUGCAGAUUUUUAAUGGUCUAACUUUAAGUAUUAACUUCUGCCAAAAAACUGUUUUGUAAAACACAGAAAUGCGACUAUUUAUUGCGAGACGAAUGGUACCCAACAAAUAUUGCUUUUACUGACCCGUCAACAAUGCCCAUUUUGCCCAUCCAUAAUGCGUUUAAUACUCGAUCGUAUUGGAUAUCCACACGGUGUAGGGAAAUGUUGAAUAAACUAUACAGGGUGAUUGGAAAUUCGCCGUAUUCCUUGUAAGGGGUUAUUCUAUGUGUCAUUUGCAAUGAUUUAAGUCCAGUCAACCAGGGGUCAAAACUCCGUGGUGUUCAAGCACAGAACACCGCCUAUAGAAACCUGAUUUUGGCCAUUUAGUUCCCGACGGAAAUCACCAAACUGUGAGGUGCGGGAGGGGUGCUCACGGCGUUGCGAUUGGUCGUUCCAAACAUGGCGCGCUGACAUGUGUAAGCGUAGGGAUGGGACAUGUUCAUUACAGGUAGUGGGUACUGCUACCAGUUAUACCGAAAUUUACUGUGGUAAAAUUGUUAACAAUUUAGUAUAGGUACUUAGAGUAAACUCACUUAAUAAUUAUAUUGAUUAAUUUAAUAUUUCAUUAAGUAAUUUAACAAUGUACCUGAAAAUUUUACUUAACAUUUUAGGGCAUUUCUGUUUAAAGUACCCAGAACUUGAAUUUCAAAGUUUAGAAUUUUUAUAUUAUUUCCACUCAGAAUCGCAAUCUUUCGAUACGAGAAAAAAGUGUCGCUAAAAUCUCAUACAAUUUUCUUUUGUACGUUUUAUUAAGGUCAUAGAAGGUUGUAUCGAAAUCAUAUUCAAAUGGACCAAUAACAUAUGCCUAUUACAAAUCAACUCCGAGUUCUCUCGCACUUCUUUGAAGUUCAUCAUCAGGUCCAUCUCGUGACAUGAGACCUAACUGCUCACCUAGAGGAUUAUAAAAAACCCAUACAACAUAUGUCUAUCACAAACCAACACCGAGUUCCCUCGCACUUCUUUGAAGUUCAUCAUCAGGUCCAUCUCGUGACAUGCGGCCUAACUGCCCCGUUGGCCUAGAGCAGCGGUCGGCAACCUUUUAGCAGCCAAGGGCUACAUAGCAGUCAACGAAAUGGUCGCGGGCCGCACUUUGUUAAUAUUUAUGACUUUAUCGCACCUACCGCAUUACGGCCCGCGGGCUGCUGGUUGCCGACCGCUGGCCUAGAGGAUUCUAAAAAAACUUACACAACAUAUUACCUAUAUAUUAUGUCUAGAAUGGUACAAUACGGUAUGAGUGGUAUGACGGAGCACGAAGUUUCCGCAACUGACGAAACCAUCAUCGUCACAUCACUAGUCGAAAGGGAAAGGGAUAGCAUAUUGCAUUUUCAAGUUGACGAAAAGGGACGGACAUAAUUCGCCUCUGCUUUUUGACCAGUAUAAAAUGAACCCCGCGGACAUGAAACAUUAUUCAAUGAAGUAAUGAAUUUGACUUUCCUGUGGGAUGUUAUUCCAUCUGUUUUGUAAGUAGAAGUCUUAGAUGACUUGCCACACCAUUUUACGCUGCAAUAUCCCAUGAUUUCCCAAUGAAUUGAAUAGUUUACGAUUUAUUUUCUUAGACCCGUGCACACUGCUAACAGGUCGUAACCUUGGGCGCAACUGAUCGGAGUGGCGUCAGUGGCGCGUGAGCAAUCUUAUAUUUGACCUACGAGUAUACACCAUACGGCCGGGACCGCGAGUCGUCCUAUAAGCUCGGUCUAUAGGGCGGUCUACAUUUGUACUUUUUUGGAAAACUGAGAAACUCAUUUCUGUAUUUUGUACGCCAAGUCUCAUACGAUUUUUUUUAAAUAAUGCCUUUAAAUGUUACAAAGUUUGGGGAAAAUUACAAAAAAUUGUGAAUUCAAAUCCUUUUUUUUUUUGAAAAUUUUAGAAAGGUUGGCAAUCUUUUUUUAUUUCACGUAAUCUGCAAUAGUUUAUUGGCUAUUAGAUGAAUGCUUUGUUUAAUUCCAAAUUUCAGUAGUUUUUUCACAAUUACCAUUAGUCGAAAGGCGGGUUUUUUAAACUAAAAACUGAAAUAACUAGAAAACCAAUGAGGUUUGACCCCUGGUUGACUGGACUUAAAUCAUUGCAAAUGACCCACAGAAUAACCCCUUUCAAGGAAUACGGCGAAUUUCCAAUCAACCUGUGUUAAAAGGACGAAAUCUUGUUUACUUCGUACGUUUAUUACUUCAGUAAUAUGUGAAAUAACUGUAAUAAGACUAACCAGGAAGUCAAGGAACCUAUAUAUGUCAUAAUAAAAUAUAUAGAUAUGGGUUAUUUUAUUACAAUGGAUCAAACACAUUAGGCAGUGUUGCACAUUAUGUCUAAAAAUCCAGCUCUAAAAAUGACCUAACAUAGUUACUGAAAUGACAUUGAAAUUUACGUACUAACACGAUAUCGGAGAGUAUUUUGAUAUGAUUAUGUAUCAAGCCAUGUUUUAAGUGAUAUGAACUUAGUGAUUUUAGAUCUGGAUUUUUCUGUGCCAGUACGUACGCGGUGAAAAAUAAAUGCGGAUAUAUUUUCUGUAAAGAACUCGAAAAUAGUGCUACCACAUAUAUGGGUAAUAUAUGAGUAACAUUUGAUUAAAACGUAUUUUUUUGUGUUGCAUUGUUUUAUGUGAUAUGGGGAUAACGAAAACAAUUUUUUUUGGGAAUGAUUAUUUGCUUAAUUCACUUAUUAUUAUUAUAGUUCGUUUUUUAGCAUUAAUAGAAGGUAAGCGAUCUUGACAUGACUUUUAAUUGAAAACACUUUAAAAAUCGGUAACUAGGUAUUACUUAUGAAAGCAGAAGAAUAUAAAUGAUCGUAUUCGAUUCAUAAUUGUUACAUAUUUGCCGUAACUUAUUUUUAAAACGUGUUUUUCAAUUAAAAGACACAUCAAGAUUGUUUACCAUUUAUCUAAUGCUAACGAACUAUACCGGUGCAAUUAAAUUUCGGUUAGUGUUUACCACAUAGUAUAUUUAUUAUUUUUUAUAGUGACCCGGGCGACAUACAUAAAUAUUAUGUGUUAUUUUGUCAAUGGCCACUAAUGCAUUUAUGUUCUCGACGCGUACACAAUAUACUUAAUGUAAAAUAUGAGAUGCAUAAUUAUCGUGUGAUUCCAUGAAACUGCGUCCUGGUAAGUACGCUAGUUUCACGCGAGUUACAUAUAUUAUUUUAAUUUAAAAAAAUCUGAGCCGGCAUUUGUAAAAAGUUAAUAACAACACACGUCUGAUUUCGUUGAAAAUUUAGUAUUUUUUAAGUUAUCUCUUCUCACCGGGGUUGGAAUCAUGAAUUUUGAUCGUUAUAAACGAAGGUUCUACCGCGAAAAACAAAAAUCGAAUUUUCUUUAUCUGCCUCCCUAUCUCGCAUAGUCGAGCGAUAGAUGGGCGGAUAAGGAUAGUUCGGUUAUUGUUUUUCUCGGUAGAGCCUGAGGCCCCGGAGUUUUUAUGGCACAGUCAGAUGGACUCGAAUUUAACAUUAAAACGAGCCACAUUCAUACUUUUGUAAAAGGUGUACAGAUGUAGUGCAUAAUUGUUUACCAUCGUAUUUUCUCGGAAAAAAUCGUAUUUGUCAUGCUACUUCAGUCGGCGACAGUACUUUUUGUACCGAGACUGGCCGAAAUAACAAGAAACGUUCGUACGUUUCCGUGCACUACAUAUGUACUCGCCGUUGCAUAUAAUAUAAAACAGUGUAGGAUGUAUAGGUAGGUACAGUGUAUUAUAUUAAUAAAAAGGUGCCUAUGUAUGAUGACCUGUAGGGCUAAGAUGGUCGGGGCUUUUAUCAUUUGUCAUCAUGCCUGCCACGUUCUGACAAGUAUGCAAGUGCGAAAGUGACGCAUGACAUGACAAGUGAUAAAAAUGCGACCAUGAUUGUGGUCUAUGUAGCCGGUUCAAAUUUUCUUAUUAAAAUAACAAUCAUAUUAUUUCACUAAAUGUUACCACAUAAGAUGCUCGUUGGACUGAAUUGCCGGUUUAAGGGAUACAAAAACUAGCAUAAGUGACAACGCGACACAAAACUACCCUUCUAUUUCCAAACUAUGAACACAGUAUUGUAUUUAGGAACCCGUAUCACGGUGUCGCUUAUUCUAGCCACGCAAGCCUUAUUGAUCGGACUAUUACCCCAGUCAUUCAGUCCUUCGAGUGCGAUUAGUUGACGGCAGAGGUUAGCGACGUUGAAUUUACAAUAGCUUAAAUAAUCAGAUAUCACGAGGGAAAUGAAUAACGUGCGUAGCACUACAUAGUAAUGUUCUAUACCAAAAUAGAUAAUAAAUUCUUUGGUUAUUUUGUAA